GUGGUUUGUGAGAACCAGGACCAAUAUGGAGUGGCGUUACAUGAGGGGGUUGAAUAAGGCUCAAUAGUAAGGUACAGAGAGAGCCUGAAGUUUGAUUUUUUAAAGUCUAUGAUGUGCUUUGUCAUCUCCAAUGGCAACGCCUUGCAUCACAAUGAAGAUGUCAUAAAGGAUAUUGUGCACAUAAUGAUAGGAACAGCCAAAAUCGAUUCAUUUAGAACUUGGUCGCUUUUCUAGUAGCCAACAAUUUACUAGGAAUUCAGAUAGGCCUAUUGCGUAAUCAUCUCUGGAUUGGGAUUGUCACUUGCUUAAUUGUAAGUAAAGGGGAAGAAAUGUGAGCACAUCGUAAAGAGAUGUAUUAUUCUUUGGUUAGCAACACGCCACUUACUACAAUGUUAUGUAUUUUCCAGAGUUAUUGUUAGCUAGGAGGAAGACAUGGACGGUUCAACGCUGACACAGAGGAGGGCUGAGUGUCAGUUGAAGGAAAGGGAGAUCCAGACAGACUACAUGAUGGAGCUAGGAGCCAGGUUGGCUCUGGUGAGACAGAUCCAGAGGGAGCAGGAGAAGGAGAUAAAGAGGAUUUGGUUUGAGACGAGGAAAAUGCCAAGCCUGAUUGAGGAGAAUGUGAGAGAUGUGACCAACCGUCCACUCACUGAGUUCAUGGCUCCCUGUAUUGACUCCCUCCCACCACUGGCUUUCACCAAUCGGAGGCCUAUACCAACCAUGUUGCAUCCCCCCUCUCCAUUGGCCAUAAGCACUCAGGAUGCACAGCGGUUCAUUGUAUUUUCCUACUUUGUCCCUGCUGAGUGCCCAGUUGCCACAGAGGCCACUGCAGAUGUAUCUACUGGUAAAAUAGAGGACUUGUCGACAGAUACACAUCUUUCCUCAAUGCUGCAUCGAUACCUGCCACACUUCUUUAACGAUGACUCCAUUCCACCACAGCAGACAGUAGAGGGAACCACUGAGGUCUCAGUUGAUCCAGUGGUAAUAUCUAGUAUCAAGGAAGAGGACAGAUUCUAUCCGUUCUCCCUCCCACCACUGGCUCAGCGGCUCAUUGGCAAUUCAUUCAUUGUCCCGGAAACAUCCCAUCUUGCUGUUUCAGCCACGGAGUGCCGAGUUGCCACAGUGGCCACUGCAGGUACAGCAACUGUCAAGAGAGAGAACCGAUGGGCAGCUAGAAUUCUUCCUUCAGUGCUGCCUCCAUGCCUGCCACCAGUCGUUGACAUUGACUACAAACUGCCAGGGGCGGCAGUAGAGGGCACCAGCAAGUGUCCAGUUGCCAGUGAAGCAGCAGCUUCCGUAUCUACUGUCCUCCAAGAGGAGUUUUUGACUGAUAAAAGUCCUCCUGCACCCACAGCACUGCCUCUAAGGCUGCCCUGGACCCACAAUAUUGACCACAAACAGCCAGAGGAGACCGUUGAGAACACCACAG
Long non-coding RNA from Oncorhynchus tshawytscha (Chinook salmon), 1429 nucleotides. The record is from Ensembl. Lineage: Eukaryota; Metazoa; Chordata; Actinopteri; Salmoniformes; Salmonidae.